This 1419-nucleotide ribosomal RNA is filed under the name uncultured euglenozoan. Its description in RNAcentral is "SSU rRNA". It matches the Rfam family "Eukaryotic small subunit ribosomal RNA", at positions 577 to 1804 of the family's 1831-position model. The record is from RNAcentral. Lineage: Eukaryota; Euglenozoa.
CGGUAAUUCCAGCUCCAAUAGCGUAUAUUAAUGCUGCAGCUGUUAAAAAGCUCGUAGUUGGAUCAAGAGUCGGAGAGUGCACGGUGGCCCUUCUAGUUCACGAGGCUCCGGUUUCGGGGACUGGUUGGGAUCAACCCCGUGCGCCAAACUCUCCGCUCUAACAGGCCGAAGCGGUUCCCUGUGAGUAGGCCCCUUUAUUGGGGUUGAAAGCGACUUCGCAUCUACCAUAUGCAUACGGGACGUCGACCAAAGUUACUGUGAACAAACCAGCGUGUCCAAAACAGGCUUUCGCCUGAAUGUUCGAGCAUGGAAUAACAAGGGAUCGAUUCUCUCGGUUCUUUUUGUUGGUUUUUAACCCGAGAAGGAGUAAUUCAGGCCACGGUGUCUGAGCUGGGUUCCCCUGCACUUCGGUGUAGGCCCCAGUUAGGCCGUGUCCUUACGGGAUAAAUAGGGACUGACGGGGUCGUACGUACUUCCACGUCAGAGGUGAAAUUCUUAGAUCGUGGGAAGACGAACUUCUGCGAAAGCAUUCGACAAGAAUGUCUUCAUUAAUCAAGAACGAGAGUGUGGGGAUCGAAGAUGAUCAGAUACCGUCGUAGUCCACUACUGUAAACAAUGCCGUCUCAGGAUUGAGAAGUAACAUUUUGACCUUCACAGCACUAACCCCUGAAACGAGAAAUCAAAGAUUAUGGGUUCAGGGGGGAGUACAUUCGCAAGGCUGAAACUUAAAGGAAUUGACGGAAUGACACCACAAGGCGUGGAGUAUGCGGCUUAAUUUGACUCAACACGGGGAAUUUUACUAGGUCAGGACAAUGUAAGGAUUGACAGAUUGAGAGCUCUUUCUCGAACCAUUGUGUGGUGGUGCAUGGCCGCUCCUGGUUGGUGGAGUGAUUUGUCUGGUUGAUUCCGUUAACGAACGAGAUCUCGACCCUUAAAUAGGUGCCCGUGUCGAUUGUAGUUUCAUCUCCGCUCGCUUGCGAGAUUGGAGUGGGACGAGACUGCGGGAAUACUUCUUAAGGGGACUGUGUGCGUCUAUAGCACGCGGAAGAGCGAGCCAAUAGCAGGUCUGUGAUGCUCCUAAAUGUCCUAGGCUGCACGCGCACUACACUGAUGCAAUAAACGAGUCUGAGUGCCUUCUGGCAACCUACCUGGAAGCGGGUGGGAAAUCUUUUGAACUUGCAUCGUGAUGAGGAUCGACGAUUGCAAUUAUUCUCCUUGAAUGAGGAAUGCCUAGUAGGCACAAGUCAUCAGCUUGUACUGAUUACGUCCCUGCCAUUUGUACACACCGCCCGUCGUUGCUACUGAUUGGCUGUAGGGUAGAGAUCGGCGGAAUUCGGCCAGUUGGGGUGACUCUUCUGGCUGGGCAAAACCUAUCAAUAUUCCGCAGCUAGAAGAAGCAAAAGUCGUAACAAGGUAACC